GAUAGGGCCGCGGCGCAUAGCUAGCUUGGCUGAGGUAACGGCUCACCAAGGCGACGAUGCGUAGCCGACCUGAGAGGGUGAUCGGCCACACUGGGACUGAGACACGGCCCAGACUCCUACGGGAGGCAGCAGUAGGGAAUCUUCCACAAUGGGCGAAAGCCUGAUGGAGCAACGCCGCGUGAGUGAAGAAGGAUUUCGGUUCGUAAAACUCUGUUGUAAGGGAAGAACAAGUACAGUAGUAACUGGCUGUACCUUGACGGUACCUUAUUAGAAAGCCACGGCUAACUACGUGCCAGCAGCCGCG
RNAcentral lists this ribosomal RNA (304 nucleotides) under uncultured Bacillus sp. RNAcentral's name for it is "bacterial SSU rRNA". It matches the Rfam family "Bacterial small subunit ribosomal RNA", at positions 224 to 519 of the family's 1533-position model. The record is from RNAcentral. Lineage: Bacteria; Bacillati; Bacillota; Bacilli; Caryophanales; Bacillaceae.